GACAGAGGGUGCAAACGUUGUUCGGAAUUACUGGGCGUAAAGCGCGUGUAGGCGGCUAUGCAAGUCGGGCGUGAAAUCCCACGGCUCAACCGUGGAAGUGCACUCGAAACUGCGUAGCUAGAGUCUCGGAGAGGAAGGUGGAAUACUUGGUGUAGAGGUGAAAUUCGUAGAUAUCAAGUGGAACACCGGUGGCGAAGGCGACCUUCUGGACGAUGACUGACGCUGAGACGCGAAAGCGUGGGGAGCGAACAGG
RNAcentral lists this ribosomal RNA (253 nucleotides) under uncultured bacterium. RNAcentral describes it as "partial 16S ribosomal RNA". It matches the Rfam family "Bacterial small subunit ribosomal RNA", at positions 524 to 776 of the family's 1533-position model. The record is from RNAcentral.